Molecule: long non-coding RNA, 2977 nt
Filed under: Oryza brachyantha (malo sina)
Lineage: Eukaryota; Viridiplantae; Streptophyta; Magnoliopsida; Poales; Poaceae
Description: long non-coding RNA (OBRA_LNC000197)
Source: RNAcentral
CUCACCUCUGUUGCAAUAUCGAGCUAUAACUCACCGCUGCUACCAUCGUUCUCCAUCCAUCUCUCUCUCCAGUUCAUCUCACCGACUACCACCUACGACAAAGAAAAUCGCUGUGAUCUUCUCCCUCUCCCUGAAGCUGCACCGCCUGCCUGAGCUGGAACCACCACCGUCGGGCUCGGCCAGGACAAGGUCAAGGUUUUCGGUCGCCGGUGCUCGACCAAGAAAUUCGUCGUCUCCUCUGCCCCAUCUUCGAAUUUGAAGGUAAAAAUGGAAUCACCUUCUCCUCCCAUAGGUUUCCCCUCACUUUCCCCAUUAAUUUCGUCGCCGGAGUUCGCCGGCGCCGCUGCCGCCCAGCCGCUCUGUUUUGCUGCCGCCGGCUGCGUGGCGUCGCGCCGCUCCGUACCCGGCCACCAGCCCCGCUACCACCGCCUCCCUCCCGCGGAUCUCCCUGGCUACUGCGCCCCUGAUGAAGAUCGCCGGAGCGCCGCUGCCGCAUCCUCCUCCGCCGCCCGGUGCUGGUCACCGUCGCCGGCCUCGCUGGCUACCUCCUGACUGCCGCAACCGAGGGGAAAAGGUCCCCCUCGGCUCCCUAGUCCUGGAUCCGGCGCCCCUUGGCCAGAGCCGGCCCUCCCACCGCCGGCAGCCCUCCAUCCAGUCUGCCUUCCCCCUGUGACCGAAGGAAGAAGAAGAAAGAACGAGAAAGAAGAAAGGAAAAGAACGCACAGAAAGAAGAAGGGAGGAGAGAGAAAGGAGGACGAAAAAAAAAGAGAAAAGAAAAAAAAGAAGAAAAGAAAAAAAGAAAAGAAAGGAAAGAAAAAAUAAUAAUAAGAGGAGAAGGAGAAAAUAAAAUAUUUAGAGUCCAUCCUAAUUUCUUUUUCUAUUCAAAAUAAAUUCAAAAAUUAUUCCUUUCUCUAAUUUAGAUAAUUAUUUGACCUUCAAAUUUCGGAUUUAAAAUCCGGAACCAUCAACCGACUCCUAGAGUCAUUCUAAAUUCAAUGCCGACAGUUUUAUCGCCAUCCGAAAUUUCGAAGGCAUAACCCUAAAUUACACCUAGGGUUACUAUUCAUCCUAAAAUUUCUAAAAUUCAUUUGGAGCCAUUCUAAACCCCCUUUGAAUCGCUAAUCUAUCUUUCUAACUCUAGUUUUGUCUUUCUUUAUUUCUUUCUUUCGUUUAUUUAUAGAUUUUGUUUAUAGGCUUAUUUGGUAUGUUAUUUCGUGUGUGUGCAAUAGAUCGACCCAAAGCCGUCGCUGACCCCGUAGGAGCUGACAUGGAUCCUGAAGGCUACGUUGAAACUUCAGAAGACUACGUUGUGCAAGGCAAGCCACGAAACCAUCCUUUAAUCAUCUUGAGAACCUAAGUAGAGAACCACUUAGUAUUUUAUGCAUUAUUUAAUUGUAAAUACUAUUUUGGCGUAUGAUUUACUUUUGAAAUAAUAUUGUUACAUUAGUUACUGCCUUUCUAUAUACUUGUUAUUACAACCAAUACUUUGAAUUGCUACGUCUUGUACCUUGAUAGUCUAGGUAUAGCUGACCACGUUGUGCAAGGCAAGCCACGAAACCAUCCUUUAAUCAUCUUGAGAACCUAAGUAGAGAACCACUUAGUAUUUUAUGCAUUAUUUAAUUGUAAAUACUAUUUUGGCGUAUGAUUUACUUUUGAAAUAAUAUUGUUACAUUAGUUACUGCCUUUCUAUAUACUUGUUAUUACAACUAAUACUUUGAAUUGCUACAUCUUGUACCUUGAUAGUCUAGGUAUAGCUUUGUUCACAUCAGAAUAACAUUGUAGUGGAAAAUACCAUCAAACUUCUAUACACAUACAUCUGUUAUGCCCGUCGUCACAUGAUGACGCUAUCGGGCUGCAUAAAAUAUUGUUUUGAUAUAAAUCACUCGCUUGAGUGAUAUGGAAGGUAACUCCGGGUGAAGGUUGGUGUUCUUGAUAUUAUGACAUGUAUUACUGUGUUUGUUAUAUGCACGUGCUGUGUUAAUUUAAUUGUUUCCCCGGAUAUAAGGAUAAACCCUCUUAUACCAUGGAAAGUGAUAUAAUUUGCACCCAUCCACAGGACCGAGUAAUCGGACUUAACCUAGUACGUGGUCUCACUAUAUGAAAACGACUGUUAGAGGCUCGAGGAGCGUAUAGGAGUGGACAUGUGUAAGGGGCCACGGGUCAAGUUGACAUGAUCUCACAACAGUGGCACCCGUGAAAGUAGCCUACUAUGCCUUGCUUGUGGCCGAGCAAGCGCCCGACUGCUAGGACGGACGAUAUCCCAUUGGGCGGUACUAGUAGUAAUUGGGACUAAUGAAUGGUUCUGUUAUCUCGACUCUGAUCCAGUUGUGGUAUCGUGUGGGUAAAGUUGGGCAGACGUUGCAGAGUCGUAUUGUAUUCGAAUACGCCAUGCUCCCGGUUAAUGGAGAUGUGUCAUUGGGUGAUUCCUAUUUCUUAUGGUAUGAGUAGAUUUUAAAAUUUAAAAUUUGGAUUGGAAUAAGAUGAAGAUGUUGGUGAUUAAUAUUGCUACAUUUUAAACUAGCGAUUUAUAAAUGUUUACCAAUAAAUUGUUUUAUCAAAAUAGGGAAAAACUAUUUAUAGUAGGCUUGUUAUCAACCGAUCUUGAUGCACCCUAUAUCCUCGUACUACUUGCAUGUAUUCUACUUAUAUUCUUGGAUUGUGGUUUGCUGGGUACGUUUGUACUCACCCCUUGCAUAUAAUGUGGUUCAGAGGAGCAGUUCUUCGCCGAAGAAGCGCCAGAAGGUGAAGAGUUCUUUUGUAGCGAGGAGUUCUUUUAGGUCGGCCUGCUCUCAGGCGUGCCUGUGGUGUUUAGUUGGGUUUUGUUUUUGGUUCUUUUGUUCGUAAGUUAGUCUGUUGUGUGAGUUUGGCUGUUUGGCCCUUAAAAGCUGUUGUAGUUGUCUUUUAUAUGUUAUUUCAUGUAAAAUAUACUGGUAUUGUAAUCGAAGUUGUUCUGUUUAUCAAUCUGUGUACGAUCGAA